This 259-nucleotide long non-coding RNA is filed under the name Brachypodium distachyon (stiff brome). RNAcentral's name for it is "long non-coding RNA (BDIS_LNC000306)". The record is from RNAcentral. Lineage: Eukaryota; Viridiplantae; Streptophyta; Magnoliopsida; Poales; Poaceae.
CGACUACGGCCUAGGAGGCAGCGCCUUAGCAAUCGAUACACCAACUCCAGAGGGUUAUUGAUCAUGCGGGGGCACGAUCAACCUGACCACGAAGGUCUUUGUUCCUGCAAGCAAUCGAAGAACAAGCAAGAACAAGAUAAAUAGCAGAUGCAAUUUAAAAUUGCGAAUAUACUAUAUCAAACCAAUGUCUCAACGAGACGAUAAGUUGGAGUCUUGACGACGGUAAAACAGGUGGUCUAACCGACACACGCGAUUACAC